Long non-coding RNA from Gadus morhua (Atlantic cod), 533 nucleotides. RefSeq lists it as uncharacterized. The transcript is spliced from 2 exons. NCBI's taxonomy places the organism in Eukaryota, Metazoa, Chordata, Actinopteri, Gadiformes, Gadidae. The record is from RefSeq and is a predicted model, not a curated record.
CACACCGCCAGAGAGCAAGGUUUGGUAGCGUCUCCCACCUCUCACAGAACACACUGGGCAGCCGCAGAUACACCGCUUCCCACGGAUUAAAACAAGCACAACACUUGGGAGGGAGAAGCCAUGGGGUCCAGAAGCGGGAUUACAUCAUGGAACGCCAGACAGCGAGACGUACACCUACCGCUCCUAGACAAACUUCUCCUCUCCCUACCUGCUUACAACAUCUUGCUUAUCAAUUAAAUAACUAAACUGCACUGUUGAAGGCAUGUUCUGUACUUGUGAUCUCAAGAUCAUAUAUUAUCUACAACCAUGCACACAAACAAACACACACACACACACACACACACACACACACACACACACACACACACACACACACACACACACACACACACACACACACACACACACACACACACACAAAAACAUGACACUAUUCAGAGAUGUGUUUUGUGUAUAGAAGCACAAGGCUUUAUUGUUUAUCAGUCUGCUUAGAAACGAACAAAUCAAUGACAACAAAGAGAGCAUUGACAAAG